Molecule: ribosomal RNA, 253 nt
Filed under: uncultured bacterium
Lineage: Bacteria
Description: partial 16S ribosomal RNA
Rfam family: Bacterial small subunit ribosomal RNA
Source: RNAcentral
UACGUAGGAGGCAAGCGUUGUCCGGAAUCACUGGGCGUAAAGCGCGUGUAGGCGGAUCGCUAAGUCUGUGGUGAAAGCGCCUGGCUUAACCGGGCGAGGUCCAUGGAAACUAGCGGUCUGGAGGCCGGUAGAGGGGGGUGGAAUUCCGGAUGUAGUGGUGAAAUGCGUAGAGAUCCGGAGGAACACCAGUGGCGAAGGCGGCCCCCUGGGCCGCGCCUGACGCUGAGACGCGAAAGCGCGGGGAGCGAACGGG